Molecule: microRNA, 23 nt
Filed under: Canis lupus familiaris (dog)
Lineage: Eukaryota; Metazoa; Chordata; Mammalia; Carnivora; Canidae
Description: Cfa-Novel-13_3p* (star (passenger))
Source: RNAcentral
AUUUGUAGGGCAGCUCUGCGGCC